Long non-coding RNA from Homo sapiens (human), 366 nucleotides. RefSeq annotates it as long independently transcribed non-coding RNA 392. The transcript is spliced from 3 exons. Lineage: Eukaryota; Metazoa; Chordata; Mammalia; Primates; Hominidae. The record is from RefSeq and is marked validated.
CAUUUUCAUCUUUGUGUCCUUAGUACCUACCAUGGUUCUUCGCACCUAAUGGAAUUUCAGUCCUGUGCCAUGGAAGCCUUGAAUUCCAGUGCCCGUUACUUCUUCUGCUGCCAGUGGCUCCCAUUUGUGUUCUCUCCUGUGGCAUCGGAUUCGAUGCAGAAAUGGGAUACCUGUGUACUCAUCAGCUCCUAUUCCUCCAGCUCAACCAAAGUUCUUUUAACAGUAAAAACCAAUAUGCAAAGAAGAGGAGGAAGAGAUGGAACCAUCAAGCCCUUCUGGGCUCAGAAUAUGUGUGUGUGAGCGCACAUACACAGGUGCAUGCAGCUUUGCAAUAUAAGAUUAAACUGUACAAUGUUCUAUAAUCUC